UAACCUGCCCAAGAGAUCGGGAUAACACCUGGAAACAGAUGCUAAUACCGGAUAACAACAGAUGAUGCCUAUCAACUGUUUAAAAGAUGGUUCUGCUAUCACUCUUGGAUGGACCUGCGGUGCAUUAGCUAGUUGGUAGGGUAACGGCCUACCAAGGCGAUGAUGCAUAGCCGAGUUGAGAGACUGAUCGGCCACAUUGGGACUGAGACACGGCCCAAACUCCUACGGGAGGCAGAU
RNAcentral lists this ribosomal RNA (237 nucleotides) under uncultured Lactobacillus sp. Its description in RNAcentral is "partial 16S ribosomal RNA". It matches the Rfam family "Bacterial small subunit ribosomal RNA", at positions 122 to 351 of the family's 1533-position model. Lineage: Bacteria; Bacillati; Bacillota; Bacilli; Lactobacillales; Lactobacillaceae. The record is from RNAcentral.